UCUGUGUCUGUGUUCAAGUAACUAACUCCUCUUGGCAACUCAAAGGAGAGCUUUAGGUAAACAAGUCAAACUAUCUUCUUGUUUAUACCUUUUUUGGAGAAAAAGUGAGAGUGCUGUAAUUUUAAAAAAAUUAGAACAGUAACAAUGUCAUCUUGAAUUUACAAAGUGCAGGAGUUCUCAGAUCUGUGAUUUCAAGUCUUCCAACAACUCUUUUUGGGUGGGAGUAGUCAGGAGUCUGUGCUGUGGUUGAAGCCCAGGUUGGCCGUCGGGAGCUGAAAUAGAGGCCAGGACUCCUGGCUCCCCGUCCAGACUCUGAGGACCCAGGAGCCUCCAUGGGUACACUCAGAGGCCACACUAGAUGCAAAAAGAACCAUUUACAGAGAAGUGAGAGGUUCUCAAAGGCUCAACCAAAUGCCUCUGCCAGGAGAAUCUUUCAGAGUGUCCUGGAACAUUGGAAAUAGGCUUAAAGCUUAAAUGAUGAAUCAGAAGAGUUAUGCUGUAUUCUAAUGCUGCCACUAGGGCCACACAGGGUGCCAACAUCCAAUCUCAAGAUCUUCGGGAAAUAUGCUCACCCUCCAAAAUACUUACAGAUGUGUCUCCUCUUUUUUGUAAAAUAAAUGCUCUUCUUAUAUUUGGUGUUUCCUUGGUAUGGCCACAAGAUUAUUUAGUAUGACAUAUUUAAUGGUGAAGAUAAAGAUUUCCAUUUGAUUUCAGUGGACUUUGAAGAUGGAUCACCUCUCUCAUUCAG
This 748-nucleotide long non-coding RNA is filed under the name Homo sapiens (human). RNAcentral describes it as "HSALNT0376948". The record is from RNAcentral. Lineage: Eukaryota; Metazoa; Chordata; Mammalia; Primates; Hominidae.